RNAcentral lists this ribosomal RNA (302 nucleotides) under uncultured bacterium. RNAcentral describes it as "partial 16S ribosomal RNA". It matches the Rfam family "Bacterial small subunit ribosomal RNA", at positions 508 to 807 of the family's 1533-position model. The record is from RNAcentral.
GCAGCAGCCGCGGGAAUACGGAGGGGGCUAGCGUUGUUCGGAAUUACUGGGCGUAAAGCGUACGUAGGCGGCUUUGUAAGUUAGAGGUGAAAGCCUGGAGCUCAACUCCAGAAUUGCCUUUAAGACUGCCGAGCUAGCAGGUGAGAGAGGUAAGUGGAAUUCCGAGUGUAGAGGUGAAAUUCGUAGAUAUCGGAAGGAACACCUGUGGCGAAAGCGGCUCACUGGACCAUUACUGACGCUGAGGCGCGAAAGCUAGGGGAGCAAACAGGAUUAGAUACCCCCGUAGUCCCUGUCUCUUAUAC